Molecule: ribosomal RNA, 549 nt
Filed under: Triticum aestivum (bread wheat)
Lineage: Eukaryota; Viridiplantae; Streptophyta; Magnoliopsida; Poales; Poaceae
Description: partial small subunit ribosomal RNA
Source: RNAcentral
AUGAAGUUGCAUUAUCACCCAGGAAAGGCCAAUGUCAUAGCAGACGCUUUGAGCCGGAAGAGUUAUGCCAAUACCCUCGUAAGCGGAGGAUUGCCAAAGGAGUUAGCCGAAGAUCUCAGGGAGCUUCGUUUGGAGAUAGUCCCUAGAGGUUUUGUUGCAGCAUUGGAAGUUCAGUCAACACUAUUGGGAAAGAUUCGAAAAGCUCAGAAGGAUGACAAAGAGAUUGCUGAGAUAAAGGAGAAGAUGAGCAAAGGAAAAGCCAAAGGUUUUUGUGAGGAUGACCACUGCACCUUGUGGUUUGAGGACCGUGUUUAUGUGCCCAAUAAUGUGGAGAUCAGGAAGUUGAUACUUGAGGAAGCUCAUGACUCGCCAUACUCGAUACACCCCAGAAACACCAAGAUGUAUUUGGAUUUGAAGGAGCGUUUCUGGUGGACUGGUAUGAAGAAGGAUAUUGCCGAGUAUGUAGCCGUGUGUGAUGUAUGUCAGAGAGUGAAGGCAGAACAUCAGAAGCCAGCAGGAUUACUGCAGCCUAUGCCAAUACCCGAAUAG